This is a non-coding RNA of Nicotiana tabacum (common tobacco), 2259 nucleotides long. The record is from RefSeq and is a predicted model, not a curated record. Lineage: Eukaryota; Viridiplantae; Streptophyta; Magnoliopsida; Solanales; Solanaceae.
AAACCCUAUACUUUUUCAUUUCCCUCUCUUCUUUUAAUCCUCCCGCCCUUGGCUUGUUUUUUAUUUACUGUUCUUAUUUCUCUUAUUUUCGUCCAUCAAAAUUAUUUCAGAAUCUCGUUAGCCCAUAUCUACAGACUACAACCAAAGGGGAAGAAAAGGAUGAACACAAACAUUAUAACAUUGGCAAAUCUCGAAUAACCGGUUGUAGAUCAGAACUCUUUGCCUUACCACCUACAUCUUCGUCACUGCCGGCUACCUCUAUGGUACUUUCACAAUCAAUAUUUUUUUGUCAUUUGCUAUUCACAUUCUUAUAAGAUUUGGUAAUUGUUGAUUAUUUUUCUUUAUUCCAUUUUGGCAUGAAUAAAACUUGGGAUUAUGAGGCUAUCAAUGCUAGCAGAAGAUUUAUUUUGGCUCAUGGGUUAGUUCAUGUACGAGUGUUAGAAUACUGCAGGUAUAUUAUGGAUUUUUUUCCCCAUCGGAGAAGGUAGGUAGCUAAGUACAGUAAAUAAUUGUUUAUAAUUUGGUUUUGGUUUUUUUAGUUUGGCAUUUGUUUGAUGCUCAUUUUGUAAUAAGAGGAGUAUGAGUUUAUUUCUUAUUCGUUUGUUUUUACUGAAUUGCUAGUGAUCUAGUUUGAUUUGAAUUCAUUUGUUUAGACAAUAUUACUUUUGGUGUUUGCUCCUAUAGAACUAACUUAAGAAGCCUAUGAAGUGUUUGAUAAAAUGUCAUAUAGAAAUAUUGUCGCUUGGACAAUAAUGACUUAUAUAUGGUAUUUUACAAGUAGUAUUUUCAAUUGUUAAAAGAUGAUAAAUCAAUUUUAGACAUUCGUAGGUUGAAAAUCUUUAAUGUUUUUCAUCAUGGGUUAAAUUAGAGUCGUUUCAAAUGUUAAACUUCGAAGAACAAUAGAAGUAUUUCUGAGCUAAUGAGGCUUCUAAGUUGUGAUGUUACUCGUUAUCAAUGUUUUAUUUGAAAAUGAAGAUAUUAUGUGGAGGAUAUUUAAACUAGUUUAAAGAUUCUAAAAUAACAUGUUUAGUAAAAAAAUGAAGAAUAUUGGAUAUGUAUUCUCUGUUCUUCUAGGGCCAAUGUAUUAUCUAGUUUUGACUUAAAUUACAUAAAUUUAUUGCUCCGGCAUUUUUUGAUUAGAAAUAUCUAAUUCAAGUUUAUUAGAAUAAGAAAUGGAGUAUUGAUGGUUCUUAAAAUUAGACGAGCUGGGGAGGUGAUCUACAGAUGAAAAGUAGAACUGCAUCUAAUGUAUAUGGCAAGAAUUAAAUGAACUUUUAAUAUUUGUGAUCUCCAUAAGUAGCUAAGCUUAUUUUUCACCAUUAAAGACAAAUGUGAAUUCUAUUGUAUUAAUAAGAUGUUCAAACAUUCAUCUUUUUCAUUUAUACUUGUAGUUGGAUCGAGCAUGGUUAAGUAGGUGAAAAUAUUGCUUUCACAACUAGCAGUAAGUAUUCUGCGUUGCAACUCUACAAGCAAACUUGCAAGAACAAAAGAUUUACAGCCAUUUUUAGUAGAAAUUCACUGAACUUGAGGAGAAAAAAAACUUAUUACUGAGGAGAAGGGUACAUUUGAACUGGAAAGGUUUCAAAUGGUUUUAUAUGUUUGUCUAGUAUUUUCCAAAAACCAAAUCCAAGUUUACUUGUCUGAAUGUGUGUUUUACUUACUAACAGGAAGUUAGGAACUAGCAUGUGAGCAAAGAGCUAGAAAUGAGAAUUUGACUAAAGAAUCAAGAAUUAAAAGGAACAAUCGACCAAGGACUCAUAUUCUAUGAUUUCUCUUUGCAACAACUGUCUAUCAUGUCUGGGCAGAGAGAAAUGCAAGAAGAUUUCAACAAAGGAAGCAAGAGGCUAGACAGAGAGUGAAGGAAAUUGUAAUACAGUUACAUAUUAAAGGACAGAGCAAUUGCAAAAUGGAAGAGUAUACUAGAUAGUUCAAUUUAAAUCUACAAUCCACAAAUUACAUGGCUGCAGAACUAGUAUCCAAUGGAUGAAACUUGCUGGAGUCAACAAGAACUGACUUUCUACAGUCAAUGAAGAUGCUUUGUUCUAACUCAUCUAAUUAUGAUAUCCUUGGACGCAGAAAUUGACACAGAAAGAACUAGAUUUGUCAGGAGGAGAAAAAACUAUUGUUGGAUUCAAAUGGUGUAUUUUUUUAUUUUUUUUUGCUGAAACUCUAAAGUAUGAACUUGUAAUUAUCUCUGUAUAUUAUGAAUUUAGUGAAACACCUUAUUCUUCCUAGAAUAAAUAUUUGCAUAUUUUAUUA